RNAcentral lists this ribosomal RNA (498 nucleotides) under uncultured bacterium. RNAcentral's name for it is "partial 16S ribosomal RNA". It matches the Rfam family "Bacterial small subunit ribosomal RNA", at positions 355 to 844 of the family's 1533-position model. The record is from RNAcentral.
UGGGGAAUUUUGGACAAUGGGCGAAAGCCUGAUCCAGCAAUGCCGCGUGUGUGAAGAAGGCCUUCGGGUUGUAAAGCACUUUUGUCCGGAAAGAAAUCCUUGGCUCUAAUACAGUCGGGGGAUGACGGUACCGGAAGAAUAAGCACCGGCUAACUACGUGCCAGCAGCCGCGGUAAUACGUAGGGUGCAAGCGUUAAUCGGAAUUACUGGGCGUAAAGCUGCGCAGGCGGUUUGCUAAGACCGAUGUGAAAUCCCCGGGGCUCAACCUGGGAACUGCAUUGGUGACUGGCAGGCUAGAGUAUGGCAGAGGGGGGUAGAAUUCCACGUGUAGCAGUGAAAUGCGUAGAGAUGUGGAGGAAUACCGAUGGCGAAGGCAGCCCCCUGGGCCAAUACUGACGCUCAUGCACGAAAGCGUGGGGAGCAAAACAGGAUUAGAUACCCUGGUAGUCCACGCCCUAAAACGAUGUCAACUAGUUGUUGGGGAUUCAUUUCCUUAGU